UAAUAAUUUGAGAAAGUCUGGAUGUGAAAGAUAUGGUCAUCUUGGUGGUAAGUAAGAUGUAGCUAUUGUCACUGGUCUGUCUGCCAUGUCUAACUCUGCUGCCAAGGUCUCUGAUAUAAAGUCAUCCUCAACCUUGUGGGUUAAUGUCUGACUCACAGCAAUGGCUACUCCAUCCAUGGGUUCAUCUGCUUGGUUACUCUGGUGAACAGAGUAUCCUGGUAUUUUUAGUUGUAUCAUGUCUUGUAAUCUGUGGCUAGUUAUCAAUAUGAUGUCUGGGUCAAAGUGUCUGUAGGUGUUAGUCAAGUUGUACUUAUGGGUGCUGUUCUAUGUCAAGACAUUGUGCAGUAUUACCCUUAGUUGUGUCAUUAUGUCUGUCUAGGAUGUGUUUUCCUACCUCAACUGUCUCUGCCCUGCUUCCUCAGUAGUGGUCCAGUGGUGAACAUGGUGAGGUCAUCCUCAGGCAUGGAGCACAGCAUCUCUUCCAGGUUCUGCUUUUAUUUCCUCAGCCAGUGGAGAACUGGAGCAGUGUUAGCUCGGGUUCUGUUGUGGCCAAUCUUGUAUCUUUCCUCAUUGAGUCCCUUCCUAAGCACCUGGUAGGUCAUCUCCUCAGGCCAGGCCAGGUGUCAGAGGCACUCUUGAAGAUGCUGGAUACCCAGUGGGCAAAUGUCACGUAAUUCACGUGGAAUACACGUGGAUCCUGCACGUGGAUUACUCAUGGAUAUUUGAUGGAAAAUGCAAAAUCGAAUUCACGUGAAAAUGAACACGUGGAAUACACGUGUACAAAUUCACGUGUAAUACAUGGUAAUAUCUGGUGGAAUAAUCCAUGUGUUUAUUUAUCCGCUGCAUUAUCGUGCUCUGGUAAUCUGCAUGUCAUCAGUGCAUCCAGUCUCUCAGUAUAUGUUUCUGUAUCAUUUACGUAAGCUAUAGUCGAAUAGGCUAUUAUAAACAGAAACAUAUCCUUUACGAGACCGCACAUUGUUGACAGGCAGGCUGGUAGAGCACGAUAAUGCAGCCUUCACACUUGUUGAAUGCAACCAUAGUACUGUGCAAUUUCAGAAUACAAGGUAGGCAUGUAAAAAAUACAAGUAAUACAGAAAGUGUGUAUAUACUCGUAUAUAUUCUUCAGUCUUACACUUUUUCAUAAAUUUAAUAAUCUUCAUCCUUGUAAAAAUAUCAAAACCAAAAUAAUUUCCAUAUUUUAUGAAAAAAAAAAAAGUUAGUGCUUGCAUUUUUACAUAUAAAGACUUUCAAGAUAUCUGACUUGAAUGAAGAAUAACUGCAAUAUAUAAAUGGAUGAUCCCAGUAAUACAAAAAAUUAAAACUUUGUUUAGCCACAAUCCAUCCAUAGCCUGACACCUGCUCCUAUGCAUUACCUCCCCAUGCCAUGGUCCAGAACAGCAGAAACCACCUUUGAACUGUGAGGGUGACCAUCCGCCAUCCCGGGCCACGACUCAAUAAAUGGGUUCCCAUGGCACUUGUGCCUAGCAUUAUCCCUGGGCAUGUGCCACAAGUGGGACUAUAAAAGGUAGAGAAGAAUGGGCAGAUCCCCAGCCUAGUGUCACCCUAAACAGUAGAGGUAUAUAGAACAAGAGAAAGACAGAAAUGGCUAUGGGAAGUAAAGGACACCAACCCUCACUCUGACAAAGAGUCAGCCCACCACUCGGAAAAG
Long non-coding RNA from Scylla paramamosain (green mud crab), 1669 nucleotides. RefSeq lists it as uncharacterized. NCBI's taxonomy places the organism in Eukaryota, Metazoa, Arthropoda, Malacostraca, Decapoda, Portunidae. The record is from RefSeq and is a predicted model, not a curated record. The transcript has 2 exons.